UUCAUCAAAAAACAUGCUAUAGGUAAAAAGCUCUGAAGGACCAGCUAUGUAUAUGAUAAUUAUGUUUCAGACCUUCUAGAGUAUUAUAUAUAAUAACUUGUCUUCUGGACGUGGUCUUGAAGUCUUUAUGGAUUCAGCCUCAGUAGUAGCGAACUGCACUGCUACUUGGUUUGGAGUACAAAUUAGACUUUAGCCCUCCUGGAAGUUGAGUUUCUGGUAUUGAAAACCAUAGGAAUGAAAUUAUUGUAUUUCAACAAAGGAUCGAGGGCUUGAGGCUUAAACAAGGCAACAUAUGUGUGGGAAGCAGUCAGCCUUGAGAGCAGGCUACGGACAUGCCAGGCAUGCGGCCGCUGCUCGAAGGGACUGUCCCUACUUGUUCCCCUCCUUGUUCCAUUCCAUGGGAGAUAAAUCACCAGGGCCCAGAAAUCAGAAAGAAUGUAAAAUGAGACAAGCAAAGCUGUCUCCCCCCUGCACAUCCAGGUUAUUUUUGAUGAUUCUGGGUUUAUGGGUUUCCUCCCAGGGAAGUUAACCUUGAGCCGAGACAGUCUGUAGAUAAUGUAAACCACCAUCUGGCAACCUUCCUUUUUCUAGUCUAUAUAAUCUGCCACUGUAGCAUAAUAAAAUUUGCCUUGCAACCAUCAGUUGUCUUGGUCCUUCUGACCCCAUUCAUCGGUGCUACUUCAGUUCCUUACCCCUUCCCUUCUGACCCUGGGCGGUGAAAUCCUCUUUCUCCGGCUGGUCCGCGGCAAGUGGCACUCGAACAGGAAGCGUGAAGGCAAUUAAAAGAAAAAGAAAGUGCAGGUAAGAGAACCCUUAUGCAAAAUAUGUGUGGCCACCAGUAAAAGUGAAACUAAUAGAGGCAUAAGGCAAUAGUCAGAAGUAAAAUAAGAUGGGGCAAAAGGCUCAAAGGAGUGUGAAUUAUUUGCUCAGGUUUUACUUUCCAUGCUUAAAGCUCGGGGUAAUAAAGUUUCUACCUUCACAGUUGACUGAAUUUUUACAGCAUAUCCAUGGUGUAUCUCCCUGGUUUCCUGAUGGCGGCUCUGUUGACAUAGAAAUCUGGCAGAAAGUUGGAGAAGAUUUAAAAAAUUAUUAUGAGGCUCGAGGGCCUACUCAUACUCCUGUUGUUACAUAUAGUUUGUGGAAUCUGAUAAAAAUAUGUUUAGAUUCUUCUCAUGAUAGUGUUGAUUUGAAUGUAAAGUCAGAAAGACAUAAGCCUCUGGCAGAAGGAGAGACUGUAGUAUCAGCUACCGUGUCGCCACUUCCUAAACUGAAAGAGCUAAUUAAUUUAAAUAUUUUAGAUGAAGAGGAACAUUUUGACUUAACAGAUGAGGCUUUUAAACAUAAAAGAGAGAACUAUCCUGAGGAUGAUUUUCUAAUGGCUGUGAUAGAUAAGUCAGUGAAAAAGCUGCAGGUUAAUAAGGACUGUCUUCCUCAAAAAUCCACAUCUGUAAAAAUGCUCAGUCCCUUGCAGCGCGCUGUACAAGGAGCCAUAAAACGAGGAGAAGAUCCUAUUUUCUGUUGUCCCGUCAUAGAAAGACCUGAUCCUAAUAAUCCUCAACAAGCUACUAGGGAGCAUCAGGCUCUCCCUUCUAAAGUUUUGAAAGAUUGAAAAUCUGCCUGUUCUCAAUAUGGGCCCACUGCUCCUUUUACUGCUGCUAUGGUUGACAGGAGAAGCUCUUCCCCCCGCUGAUUGGAAGUCUAUUGCACGAGCUUGUUUAAAUGGUGGAGAUUAUUUAAUAUGGAAGUUUGAUUUUUAUGAACGGGCUGCUGAACAAGCAGAAAAGAAUGCUGCCCAUAAUAUUGCAGUUGAUUAUCAUAUACUGAUUGGGAAGGACAAUAUAUUUCUUUACAAGAUCAAUUAACUUAUCCCUUUGUUGCUUAUCCUCAAAUAAAUCAUUUGGCAUUACAAGCCUGGAGGAAAUGACCUUCUACACACAAAACUGAGGAUCUUUCAACAAUUAGACAGGGACCUGAUGAACCAUAUGCUGAUCUUGUAGAUAGGUUGUCACAGGCGGUGGGGAGACUCAUUGUGGACGGACUCACUGGUACAAUUGUAGUUAAGCAGCUUGCUUUUGAGAAUGCUAAUAAUGCGUCUCAGGCUGCGAUUCGACCUUGGAGAAAACAGGGAACAUUGGAGGAUUAUAUUCGCCUUUGUGCAGACAUUGGGCCUGCUUAUAUACAGGGUGCUGCUAUGGCUGCAGCAUUAACUAAAGUGGGGUUUAAAAACAAUCAAAAGAAAACGAAGACUUGUUUUAAAUGCGGAAAGGCAGGUCAUUUUGCUAGAGAAUGUAGAUCUUUUAAUUCUAACCCUAGUCCUUCCUUCCCUACUCAAAAACCUCCAGAUGGUCAGAAAAUCCCUGGUUUAUGCCCUAAAUGCAAUAGGGGAAAACACUGGGCACAAGAUUGUUGCUCAGUGGCCCACAACGAUGGGACACCACUGUCAGGAAACUCCUCCCGGGGCCUUCCCCGGCCCCAACAAAUAAUAAGGGCAGUGUCUGUGUAUCCUCCUCAAAUUAUCAAUCAGACGUUAACCAAAAACAAAAACAUACAAUAUCCUUGCUCUCCAGAGCAACACCAGGAAGCGCAGGACUGGAGCUCAGUACCUCCGCCCGCUAUGUAUUAACUCCUGAAAUGGGUCCUCAGGCCCUCUCUAUGGGCAUCUAUGGACCUUUACCCAAGGGUUUGAUGGGACUAUUAUUGGGAAGAAGUAGUGUCACCAUGAAAGGUUUAACUAUUAUACCAGGAGUCAUAGAUUCUGACUAUGAAGGAGAAAUAAAAGUCAUGGCACAAACUAUUAAAAACAUAAUAACUAUUUCUUCUGGUGAUAAAAUUGCACAAUUGCUACUUUUGCCCUUUGUACCUCAUGGACAAAUUUUACAACAUCAAAAGAGAGAAACAAAGGCUUUGGAUCAUCUAAUGCUGCCUACUGGAUUCAGAAGAUAGGGAAAGAACGUCCAGAAAUGAAAUGAACCAUUAAUGGAAAGGUUUUUUCAGGUUUGUUAGACACUGGAGCUGAUGUCUCUGUUAUGACGCAGGUACACUGGCCUAAACAUUGGCCCAUUAGUCCUACUAUUACAGAACUUCAAGGAAUAGGACAAAGUUCUUCUCCUAUGCAAAGCAGUCAGUUAUUAUUAUGGCAAGAUAGUGAGGGCCAUUCAGGAUACUUCCAGCCUUAUGUUUUGCCUGGGCUGCCUUUAAACCUCUGGGGCCGAGAUAUAUUAAAAGAAAUGGGAGUAUUACUUUAUAGUCCAAAUUCCCAAGUCUCUAAUAUGUUGUUGGAUCAAGGAUUUCUUCCCACAAAAGGGCUGGGAACAAAUCAACAAGGAACUGUCUAUCCUAUUGAUGUGAAAAUAAAAAAUGAUAGACAAGGUUUGGGUUUUUCUUAGGGGCCUUGGAUUCUCCUCCACUCACUGCUGAUCCAAUUACUUGGCUGACUGAUGACCCUGUAUGGGUGGACCAAUGGCCCCUCACAAAGGAGAAAUUAGAAGCUGCAGAACAAUUAGUACUGGAACAAUUAGGGCAUUUAGAAAUUUCCUGUAGUCCUUGAAAUACUCCUAUUUUUAUUAUCAAGAAAAAAUCUGGAAAGUAUAGGUUAUUACAGGAUCUAAGAGCUGUUAAUAAAACUAUGCUAACAAUGGGAGCUCUUCAACCAGGCCUACCCUCUCCAACAGCCAUACCACACAAUUAUCACCUUUUAGUUAUAGAUUUAAAAGAUUGUUUUUUCACUAUUCCUUUGUUUCCUGAAGAUAGAAAACAUUUUGCUUUUAGCUUGCCUUCCUUAAAUUUUAAGGAACCCAUGAGGAGAUUUCAAUGGAAAGUAUUGCCUCAGGGCAUGGCAAAUAGUCCUACAUUAUGCCAAAAAUAUGUGGCUCAGGCCUUGACUCCUGUGAGAAAAAGGUUUCCAUCGUUAUAUCUCAUACAUUAUAUGGAUGAUAUACUUUUAGCCACUGAUAAUAUUUCUUUAUUAGAGACUGCUUUUCAAUUUUUACAACAGUCCUUACAAUCAUUUGGCUUGGUCAUUGCCUCAAAAAAAAUUCAAAGACAAUCUCCAUUUUUAUAUUUGGGGAAAUAUAUUGAUAACACUACUAUUAGGCCUCAAAAACUGCAAAUUCGAGUUGAUAAUUUAAAAACAUUAAAUGAUUUUCAAAAAUUACUUGGAGAUAUUAAUUGGCUAAGGCCUUCCUUAAAACUUACUACUGCUCAAUUACAGCCUUUGUUUGAUAUUCUUAAAGGUGACUCAGAUCCUCUUCUUCACGCUCUAUGACUCCAGAAGGGUUUCAAGCUUUACAAAUAGUCAAUAGAUCUAUCAGUUCUACACAAUUAACUAGAAUUCAUACUCACCUUCCAAUUUUCUUAAUAAUUUGUCCAACUCCUCAUGUGCCUACUGCCGUCUUAUGGCAAACUGUUGGAAUUAUUGAAUAGAUUCAUAUGAAAACUACACCCUCUAAAGUUAUUAACCCUUAUUAUGAACUUAUUAGUAAUUUAAUAAUGCAAGGUAGAACUAGAUGCUUACAACCUAUAAGUAUAGAACCUUCUCAAAUUAUUAUCCCUUAUUCAGUUAGUCAACAAAAUUGGCUUUUUCAACAUAGUAAUGAAUGGGGUCUUGCUCUUGCAGGAUUUUCAGGUACCUUGGAAUGCCAUUACCCUGCUGAUAAAUUGAUCCAAUUCAGCAAACUUAACUCAUAUCUUUCCUUCUAUAAUUAGGCAACAGCCUGUUCCUCAUGUACCUUUGGUUUUUACAGACGGUUCUUCUUCAAGAGUGGCUACUGUAAUCUUUGAUGACGGAACAAAACUCAUUAAAGAAACUUCCUUGACUUCAGCUUAACGUGUUGAACUGUUUGCUGUCAUUAUGGCUUUUAAACAUUUGCCUUCUAUAUCUUUUAAUUUGUUUUCUGAUAGUAAAUAUCUUAUUAGCUUAUUAUUUCUUCUGGAGACUGCGACCAUAGGACAUACUAAUGACCCUGAAUUAUCAUCCUCUUUUCGUUUGCUUCAACAGCUUAUUCGUUCCCACGAUGGUUCUGUUGCAGGUCUGUAUAUCCGUGCUCAUUCUAACUUGCCUGGUCCAUUGGCUAAACUUAAUGCGACUGCAGAUGUUUUAACUAGAUCUAAAUGUGAUCUUUAUCCUGUACAUUUUCCUCCCAAGAAUAGAGUUGAAGUUACUCCUCCUUCUCAAUCUCUUUUCCCUAAAGCAGGACGUGUCCCAAUUUACCGUACUCCUCCUUUCCGUUUGUCAUGCUGUCAAGAAUGGCUAAUGUACUGCAUUCAUUAUCUUCAUACUGUUGAUACUCAUGGUCCAUGUCCUGGACACCCUCAUAUUAUGGUAAGUUAUGAUCAAACUGCUUCACAAGCAGCACAGCAAUUGCACGCUUUACACCAUCAGUCGGCGGCUACAUUACACACACAAUUUUCCCUUACUCGUGAAGCCGCCUGACAAAUUGUUAAGCAAUGCCCACAAUGCUUACCUCACCUUCCUGUUCCACAUUAUGUUGUUAAUCCUCGUGGAUUAUUACCUAGACAUUUAUGGCAAAUGGAUGUUACUCAUAUCCCGUCUUUUGGGAAAUUACAGUUUGUUCAUGUCACUAUCGAUACUUAUUCUGGUUUCCUCUGUGCUACAGCACAGACCGGAGAAGCUACUAAACAUGUUAUCACUCAUUUAUUACACUGUUUUGCUUUCAUGAACCUUCCCAAAAUUAUUAAAACAGAUAAUGGGCCCGCAUACUCUAGUGCUGCUUUUGCAACAUUUUGUAAUUCAUUACAAAUUACCCAUAUUACAGGCAUUCCAUAUAACCCUCAAGGACAAGGUAUUAUAGAACGUGCAAAUAGAUCUUUAAAGCUAACUAUUGAAAAAAUAAAAAGGGGGGAAUUGUAUAGAACAACACCACAUAACCUUAUAAAUCAUGUUCUGUUUAUUUUAAAUUUUCUCACUGUUGACAAAUUUGGCUGCUCUGCAGGGGAAAGGUUGGUGGCUGAGCCAAGAUUGGCUUCUCAAUCUCCGGAGAUCCUCUGGAAAGAUCCGUUAACCAGCACUUGGCGUGGUCCUGAUCCUGUGUUGAUUUGGGGACGUGGUCACGUGUGUAUCUUUCCCAGAUCAGCGCCUGGACCUCGCUGGCUUCCUGAGCACUUAGUCAAGCAAAUAGAUGACUCACCACAGCUCACAACUAGUUCAGAAGAUGAAGAAGCUCUGCAUCUCUCCCGAAAAUUUGACAGUGUUGAUUCAGAAAGAGAAGAAGAAGAGGAGACCACUUGCCAGGACGACUCAAAGGAGUGAUGUUCCAACUUGGGGACAAAUUAAACAAUUGGUUUCACUAGCUCAAGAGUUAGUGAAACAACAGAAUAAUCCUGUUACACCUGUAACUUUAUUUUUGGCUAUGUUGGCAACCAUUUCAUGUGUUCCCUCUGUUAAUGCAGCAACUUACUGGGCCUAUGUACCUGAUCCUCCACCAUUACAACCCAUAUCUUGGUCUGAAGCAGAGUUUCCUGUAUUUUACAAUGAUAACUGUUUAUGGGCCUCUUAUUGGGAAUAUAAAACAAAUCAAUAUGUCUGUAAAUUAUACUAACUGGUUUAGUACCCAACCUGUCUGUCUUAGCCCAUUGAAUCUGGAAACUGGAUGUGUAAAGGCUAUUAGUUAUGAGCAUACAGAUGUUUAUGAGGGAACGGAUCAAUCAAUUAGUUUGUCAGGCUCUCCAGGCAUCCUUCGUUUUACAGGAACCAACAUUACUCUUAUAUGCCCGGCUACCAGCUGACGAGAGGAUCUUAAGGAUACCGUCAUUUGGUAUAAAAUGGGCAACCUAUUAAUAUUAGAGGUCAAAUCUCAUACGCCUCACCACUUAGGGAUUCCGCUAUUACUAUAGCCAAGGUUACUAUUCUUAACAGAAAAUCAAAAAAUCAAUUUCCUCCUUUUAUGACCGUUAACUUUCCUGGAUCCACUUUUAACCAAAUAUGGUGUACUAUAGAUUAUACCAAGAGGUCAAUUCUUUUUUUUUUUUUUUUAAGAGGUCAAUUCUUAUCUCUUCUAUUCCCAUCAUAGAUAG
Molecule: long non-coding RNA, 7032 nt
Organism: Orcinus orca (killer whale)
Lineage: Eukaryota; Metazoa; Chordata; Mammalia; Artiodactyla; Delphinidae
Exons: 2
Source: RefSeq, a predicted model, not a curated record